GAUGAAGAACGUAGCGAAAUGCGAUAAGUAAUGUGAAUUGCAGAAUUCAGUGAAUCAUCGAAUCUUUGAACGCACAUUGCGCCCAUUAGCAUUCUAGUGGGCAUGCCUGUUCGAGCGUCAUUUCAACCCUUAAGCCCUGUUGCUUAGCGUUGGGAGCCUACAGUACUGUAGCUCCCCAAAGUUAGUGGCGGAGUCGGUUUCACACUCUAGACGUAGUAAUUUUUUCUCGUCUGUAGUUGAGCCGGUCCCCUGCCGUAAAACACCCAAUUUAUCAAGGUUGACCUCGGAUCAGGUAGGAAUACCCGCUGAACUUAAGCAUAUCAAUAAGCGGAGGU
RNAcentral lists this unclassified non-coding RNA (335 nucleotides) under soil metagenome. Its description in RNAcentral is "partial contains 5.8S ribosomal RNA, internal transcribed spacer 2, and large subunit ribosomal RNA". The stretch from base 1 to 120 matches the Rfam family "5.8S ribosomal RNA", at positions 35 to 154 of the family's 154-position model. The record is from RNAcentral.